AAUUCUCAACUCCCCUCGGAUUCCAUCUGUAGAGUGAGCUUGGACUUGGAGGUUUCUGCUGGCGUUCGCCGGCUCCUCUUGAAAUCAUUAGCUUUGAGUUGAUCUUGAUGGCUUGACCGGUGUGAUAAACAUCUACGCCGAUUUGUGCCGUCCUGAGCGACGAACGUCGGAGACGCCCUGGCUUAUAACUGUCUUCGCCAGAGGACGAUGCCCUGAAC
This 218-nucleotide unclassified non-coding RNA is filed under the name uncultured fungus. Its description in RNAcentral is "sequence contains ITS2". Lineage: Eukaryota; Fungi. The record is from RNAcentral.